GUGCGAAGCCGUAAGGCGAUGUAUACGGACUGACGCCUGCCCGGUGCUGGAAGGUUAAGAGGAUCCGUGAGCCCCUUGGAUACAUGGGGUGAGGCGGUGAGUUCAAGCCCCAGUAAACGGCGGUGGUAACUAUAACCAUCCUAAGGUAGCGAAAUUCCUUGUCGGGUAAGUUCCGACCUGCACGAAUGGCGUAACGACUUCUCCGCUGUCUCAACCAUGAACUCGGUGAAAUUGCAGUACGAGUAAAGAUGCUCGUUUCGCGCAGCAGGACGGAAAGACCCCGUGACCUUUACUAUAGUUUGGUAUUGGUGUUUGGGUUGGCUUGUGUAGGAUAGGUGGGAGACUGUGAAGCUGUCACGCUAGUGGUGGUGGAGUCGUUGUUGAAAUACCACUCUGGUCAAUCUGGAUGUCUAACUUCGGGCCAUGAUCUGGUUCAGGGACAGUGCCUGAUGGGUAGUUUAACUGGGGCGGUUGCCUCCUAAAGUGUAACGGAGGCGCCCAAAGGUUCCCUCAGCCUGGUUGGCAAUCAGGUGUUGAGUGUAAGUGCACAAGGGAGCUUGACUGUGAGAGUGGCGACUCGAGCAGGGACGAAAGUCGGGACUAGUGAUCCGGCAGUGGCUUGUGGAAGCGCUGUCGCUCAACGGAUAAAAGGUACCUCGGGGAUAACAGGCUGAUCUUGCCCAAGAGUCCAUAUCGACGGCAUGGUUUGGCACCUCGAUGUCGGCUCGUCGCAUCCUGGGGCUGGAGUCGGUCCCAAGGGUUGGGCUGUUCGCCCAUUAAAGCGGUACGCGAGCUGGGUUCAGAACGUCGUGAGACAGUUCGGUCCCUAUCCGCUGCGCGCGUUGGAGAAUUGAGAAAGGCUGUCCUUAGUACGAGAGGACCGGGACGGACGAACCUCUGGUAUGUCAGUUGUACCGCCAGGUGCAUGGCUGAUUGGCUACGUUCGGGAGGGAUAACCGCUGAAGGCAUCUAAGCGGGAAGCCUGUUUCGAGAUGAGUUCUCCUGGCACUCUUUGUGGUGUGUGAGGCUCCUUAGAGAUGAUGAGGUUGAUAGGCCGGGUAUGGAAGCGUUGUAAGGCGUGGAGUUGACUGGUACUAAUAGGCCGAAGACUUAUUCAC
Molecule: ribosomal RNA, 1118 nt
Filed under: human metagenome
Description: bacterial LSU rRNA
Rfam family: Bacterial large subunit ribosomal RNA
Source: RNAcentral